This 630-nucleotide ribosomal RNA is filed under the name uncultured bacterium. RNAcentral's name for it is "bacterial SSU rRNA". It matches the Rfam family "Bacterial small subunit ribosomal RNA", at positions 91 to 736 of the family's 1533-position model. The record is from RNAcentral.
UUUAGUGGCGGACGGGUGAGUAACGCGUGGGUAACCUGCCAUAUACUGGGGGAUAACACUUAGAAAUAGGUGCUAAUACCGCAUAAGCGCACGGUCCCGCAUGGGACAGUGUGAAAAACUCCGGUGGUAUAUGAUGGACCCGCGUCUGAUUAGCUGGUUGGCGGGGUAACGGCCCACCAAGGCGACGAUCAGUAGCCGGCCUGAGAGGGUGGACGGCCACAUUGGGACUGAGACACGGCCCAAACUCCUACGGGAGGCAGCAGUGGGGGAUAUUGGACAAUGGGGGGAACCCUGAUCCAGCGACGCCGCGUGAGUGAAGAAGUAUCUCGGUAUGUAAAGCUCUAUCAGCAGGGAAGAAAGAAAUGACGGUACCUGAGUAAGAAGCCCCGGCUAACUACGUGCCAGCAGCCGCGGUAAUACGUAGGGGGCAAGCGUUAUCCGGAAUUACUGGGUGUAAAGGGAGCGUAGACGGUGAUGUAAGUCUGGAGUGAAAGGCGGGGGCCCAACCCCCGGACUGCUCUGGAAACUAUAUGACUGGAGUGCAGGAGAGGUAAGCGGAAUUCCUAGUGUAGCGGUGAAAUGCGUAGAUAUUAGGAGGAACACCAGUGGCGAAGGCGGCUUACUGGACUG